AAAAGGAAACAAAAAACUCAAUCAAAGGAUAGUCUCAACAGAUCGCAGUAUAAAAGGACUGCUCUACUGAAUACAACACCUUGACCAAGAGACCAAGUCGUAUGCAAGUGAUUUAGCGCCCCGACAUUGAACCAGAGUGAUCUGGCGUUGGCAAGCGUCGCAGAAUUCACUACGACGCCAAGGCCAUACAUAGGGCAUAAGCUCUCGUGUUGCCACGAGAUAGAGAUGCCUCCCGACACCGGGAAGCAAGAAAUUUUCGCCUUGACAAGGCGAGAUUCUAACUUAGAGGCGUUCAGUUA
This is a non-coding RNA of Caenorhabditis elegans, 299 nucleotides long. The record is from Ensembl. NCBI's taxonomy places the organism in Eukaryota, Metazoa, Nematoda, Chromadorea, Rhabditida, Rhabditidae.